RNAcentral lists this unclassified non-coding RNA (416 nucleotides) under Hevea brasiliensis (rubber tree). Lineage: Eukaryota; Viridiplantae; Streptophyta; Magnoliopsida; Malpighiales; Euphorbiaceae. The record is from RNAcentral.
AUGUAUUGAUAAUGCAAAUCAAGCCCUGUAAGUGCACACUGAUACUUCCCAUGAGACUGCCUUCCCCCAUCAAAAAAAAUGGGGGAAAAAGAGAGAAGAAAAACGACUCAAAUACAUGUAGAACAUGAAGGAUAAAAGCAAACCAUUUCAGUUUCAAAUUAUGGAGUGCACUGCAAUUUUUCUGAUUACUUGUUUCAUGUGUAGGUUUACCCCUCCUAAGCGCUUCCAUUCAGCCAGCUGCAUGAGGUCUUCUAGAAAGACUUAUGAUCCGCCUUUAUUAACUGGACCAUCCCCAACAUCGAAGUCUUGGAAACCUUAUAUAUUAGUAUUGCAUUUGAACUCCACUUUCCUUUUGAUGUGUUUUGUGACUGUUGUUGCAUGUGCUCUGUGCAGUUGUCUAUGGCGCCUUCAUCUUA